This 377-nucleotide ribosomal RNA is filed under the name uncultured eukaryote. RNAcentral describes it as "partial 18S ribosomal RNA". It matches the Rfam family "Eukaryotic small subunit ribosomal RNA", at positions 592 to 976 of the family's 1831-position model. The record is from RNAcentral.
CAAUAGCGUAUAUUUAAGUUGCUGCAGUUAAAAAGCUCGUAGUUGGAUUUCGGGUGGGAAUGGCCGGUCCGCCGUUUCGGUGUGCACUUGCUACGCCCACCUUGCUGCCGGGGACGUGCUCUUGAGUUCACGCUCGGGACACGGAGUCGGCGAGGUUACUUUGAGUAAAUUAGAGUGUUCAAAGCAGGCCUACGCUCUGAAUACAUUAGCAUGGAAUAACACGAUAGGACUCUGGCCUAUCUUGUUGGUCUGUAGGACCGGAGUAAUGAUUAAGAGGGACAGUCGGGGGCAUUCGUAUUUCAUUGUCAGUGGUGAAAUUCUUGGAUUUAUGAAAGACGAACUACUGCGAAAGCAUUUGCCAAGGAUGUUUUCAUUAA